CCUACGGGUGGCAGCAGUGGGGAAUAUUGGGCAAUGGGCGCAAGCCUGACCCAGCAACGCCGCGUGAAGGAAGAAGGCUUUCGGGUUGUAAACUUCUUUUCUCAGGGACGAAGCAAGUGACGGUACCUGAGGAAUAAGCCACGGCUAACUACGUGCCAGCAGCCGCGGUAAUACGUAGGUGGCAAGCGUUAUCCGGAUUUACUGGGUGUAAAGGGCGUGUAGGCGGGAAAGCAAGUCAGAUGUGAAAACCAUGGGCUCAACCUGUGGCCUGCAUUUGAACCUGUUUUUCUUGAGUACUGGGGAGGCAGACGGAAUUCCUAGUGUAGCGGUGAAAUGCGUAGAUAUUAGGAGGAACACCAGUGGCGAAGGCGGUCUGCUGGACAGCAACUGACGCUGAGGCGCGAAAGCGUGGGGAGCAAACAGGAUUAGAUACCCGAGUAGUC
This 443-nucleotide ribosomal RNA is filed under the name uncultured bacterium. Its description in RNAcentral is "partial 16S ribosomal RNA". It matches the Rfam family "Bacterial small subunit ribosomal RNA", at positions 338 to 795 of the family's 1533-position model. The record is from RNAcentral.